UUAAUGAGAGUUUGAUCCUGGCUCAGGACGAACGCUGGCGGCGUGCCUAAUACAUGCAAGUAGAACGCUGAAGAGAGGAGCUUGCUCUUCUUGGAUGAGUUGCGAACGGGUGAGUAACGCGUAGGUAACCUGCCUUGUAGCGGGGGAUAACUAUU
Molecule: ribosomal RNA, 155 nt
Filed under: Streptococcus thermophilus
Lineage: Bacteria; Bacillati; Bacillota; Bacilli; Lactobacillales; Streptococcaceae
Also listed under: 1 other name
Description: partial 16S ribosomal RNA
Rfam family: Bacterial small subunit ribosomal RNA
Source: RNAcentral